GUCCUGUGAUGACCUGUGGCGGAAGGUAAACCGAAGGUGACUGCGGUUAACGUCCUCGAUGGGAAUGGCCACCUUCAAGAAUUGAAAAAGAAGUUUAAGCACUGUUAUCAAUAUCAUCCAGCGUAACAGCUUUAUUCAACUGGAGCUAUCAGAUAUGAAAUUCCAGAUCAUGGGAGGGAGAGUUUGAAGAAGGAAGAACCACCAAUAGAAAGCGGUCCCCAAAGAGGUAUCGGGGAUGGCACCCAGACAGGAGCACAUGUACCACUGCCCAGAAUGUGCAUUUCACUAGACAAGUGACCACAAAAGAACAAGAAAGUCCAAGAAUAACCCCAGAUGGCCCGGGUCACUUUCCCUGUGUCUGCUACUGCUCCACCGCCACACUGGACUUGAGAGGAAGAUGCCUUGUUUAUUUUCUUCGCACAAGACCUUUCCCCAGAAGGGUCUCUCUGUAGCCCAGCUCUGCGUUCAGGCGGAGCACAGAGGACUUUUAGGAUGGUGAAGCUACCCAGUGAGAGACUACAAUGGUGAAUAUACGGUAUUAUUCAUUUGUCGAAACCCACAGAAGGCACAACAUCAAGAAUGAACGCUAAUGUAAACUACAGACUUCACAGGGCGACGAUGUGUCAAUGCGGUUCACCAACUGUAAUCAAUGUACCAAUCUAUGGUGGAUACUGAUAAUGGGGAGGCAGGGGGAAGGAAGGAGAAAUAUAUAGGAACUGUCUGUA
Molecule: long non-coding RNA, 725 nt
Filed under: Homo sapiens (human)
Lineage: Eukaryota; Metazoa; Chordata; Mammalia; Primates; Hominidae
Description: DOCK1 antisense RNA 1
Source: RNAcentral